Syngnathus acus (greater pipefish) is the source of this 532-nucleotide long non-coding RNA. RefSeq lists it as uncharacterized. The transcript has 3 exons. NCBI's taxonomy places the organism in Eukaryota, Metazoa, Chordata, Actinopteri, Syngnathiformes, Syngnathidae. The record is from RefSeq and is a predicted model, not a curated record.
GUUGGACUGCAGGGAAGCGGGCAGUGUAUGCUAAUAUGAAUCUCUACAGAGGCGAGCCUACUGUGUUUUGAUUUGGCGAUGACGCAAAUUGACAAUCGUCAAUCCACCUCGCUCGGAAUAUGCUCCAAGAAUAUUCGGUGACGUUCUCAAAAGGAAAACAACAGGAAGCGAGGAGGUUCGCCGAGAGUGUGAAGAUUUGAUCUAAGUUACGGACGGGGCGGGUGGUGCAACAUGGCGAGCACAAAAGCGAGGUGCAUGUGUCGCCAUUCACGUUUGACCUAAUAGGGUCAAGGUCAGAGUGUCACUUCCAUGUCCAACAUGAAAAAAAGUCUAAUUGCUCUUCUGCGCUGGAGCAGAUGGCAGCUUUCUGGUUGCAAAGGCAAGGUCGCCGUGUGAAUUAAUGGCGCCAUAAGGAACAGCCAAUUAGGCGAGCCUUUGUAAAAGUAGGCCAAAUGGAGGUUGGAGGUCUCUCAAAACUCUAAGAAGUGCAAAUGCAGUCAGACGCCAUAGAGGACAUGAAACGGCAGGGUAU